Molecule: unclassified non-coding RNA, 314 nt
Filed under: uncultured fungus
Lineage: Eukaryota; Fungi
Description: partial contains 5.8S ribosomal RNA and internal transcribed spacer 2
Rfam family: 5.8S ribosomal RNA (bases 1-133)
Source: RNAcentral
UGGUUCUGGCAUCGAUGAAGAACGCAGCGAAAUGCGAUAAGUAAUGUGAAUUGCAGAAUUCAGUGAAUCAUCGAAUCUUUGAACGCACAUUGCACCCUCUGGUAUUCUGGGGGGUAUGCCUGUUCGAGCGUCAUUACAACCCUCAAGCACUGCUUGGUAUUGGAUGUCACCACCGUGGUUCAUCUCAAAGGUAUUGGCAAGGGCACUCAGCUUCUAGUGUAGUAGUUUUGACGCUUUGGAGUUUGGAUGCCUGUCUGCCUAGAACCCCUUAGUUUUCAAAGGUUGACCUCGGAUCAGGUAGGGAUACCCGCUGA